RNAcentral lists this ribosomal RNA (421 nucleotides) under uncultured bacterium. RNAcentral's name for it is "bacterial SSU rRNA". It matches the Rfam family "Bacterial small subunit ribosomal RNA", at positions 917 to 1333 of the family's 1533-position model. The record is from RNAcentral.
GGGCCCGCACAAGUAGUGGAGCAUGUGGUUUAAUUCGAAGAUACGCGCAGAACCUUACCAACACUUGACAUGUUCGUCGCAACUCUAAGAGAUUAGAGUUUUCGGUUCGGCCGGACGAAACACAGGUGCUGCAUGGCUGUCGUCAGCUCGUGUCGUGAGAUGUUGGGUUAAGUCCUAUAACGAGCGCAACCCCUAUCGUUAGUUGCCAGCGAGUAAUGUCGGGAACUCUAACGAAACUGCCAGUGCAAACUGUGAGGAAGGUGGGGAUGACGUCAAAUCAUCACGGCCCUUACGUCCUGGGCUACACACGUGCUACAAUGGCCGGUACAGAGAGCAGCCACUUCGCAAGAAGGAGCGAAUCUAUUAAAACCGGUCUCAGUUCGGAUCGGAGUCUGCAACUCGACUCCGUGAAGCUGGAAUC